Molecule: ribosomal RNA, 477 nt
Filed under: uncultured bacterium
Lineage: Bacteria
Description: partial 16S ribosomal RNA
Rfam family: Bacterial small subunit ribosomal RNA
Source: RNAcentral
AUGCACGCUGGCGGCGUGCUUAACACAUGCAAGUCGAACGAGAAAUGUAGACGGAAACCUUCGGGCGGAAGCCUUCAUUUCGAGUGGCGGACGGGUGAGUAACGCGUGGGUAACCUGCCUCAUACAGGGGGAUAACAGUUGGAAACGACUGUUAAUACCGCAUAAGACCACAGCAUCGCAUGAUGCGGGGGUAAAAACUCCGGUGGUAUGAGAUGGACCCGCGUUCGAUUAGCCAGUUGGCGGGGUAACGGCCCACCAAAGCGACGAUCGAUAGCCGAUCUGAGAGGAUGACCGGCCACAUUGGGACUGAGACACGGCCCAAACUCCUACGGGAGGCAGCAGUGGGGAAUAUUGCACAAUGGGGGAAACCCUGAUGCAGCGACGCCGCGUGAGUGAAGAAGUACUUCGGUAUGUAAAGCUCUAUCAGCAGGGAAGAAAAUGACGGUACCUGAGUAAGAAGCCCCGGCUAACUACGUG